UUAUGGCCACCUGUUGCUACUGUAAAGCAUAAGGGACUCUGCAUUUUGAAAAAUUCAUGGCUUAUACUAAUCAAGAGAAAUGUUUGCCGAAACAAGAUGUCUGCCGAGAACACACAAAAAAAAACGAAAAAAACAAAACAAAAAAAAAACACUUAUUUAUAACCAGAACCAAAUUUACUGGAAUGGGCUACCAUUAUCACUAAAAACUUUUACAAACUUCAAUUUAGCAAUACAAUACAAUACAAUACAAUAAACUUUAUUUAAGGAGGGUGACACGGUUAACCCAAAGAGUUAUCUAACACGUGGCCCUCAAUACUCACUGUAUUUAUGUAAUCAAAUGUAAAUAAAGUAUUGUUGUUGUUGUUGUCAUGGCCAGACUGAAAAUAUUUUUAGUUUCUUCAUUUCAAAACAGGUUAUUACGACAAUGCAAGUCUCAAAGUAUAAUAUGUCUGCUGAAGUCACUGUUACAUGCUGUUAUGCGAUGUUAGUACCAGCCCUUGUGUCACCAUUUGUGUUUUACACGCUUCAUGUUGAUUUGCGUGAAGUCGUCAACAAAUCAUUCAAAGCAUUGUUUAUCAAGGUCAAACAGAAUCGUCACAAUACACCAAGAGUUGUUCAAUCGAGUGUUAAUCAAGUCAUGGAACUAGAGGCAAAACUAUAGAAUCAUUCACAGGUUUACAAUGAAGGUCAAAAACCCAUGAACCAUAUAUAUUGCAUCUCUGCUGUAUUUACUGCAUUUUGCAUCAUGCUCAGACAAGAUACUAGAGUCGAGGAAAGAGAUAAAAAAAUGUUUAUUUUGUUAAUUUGGAAUUUUGUCUCUACAAAACAACAUCCUUGUACCAACCAGUUUAUCCAACUGAUACUUCUGUACAACUAAAAUACAUGUACUACUUUACAACUUACUAAUGAUAUAUUUUACAACUUGUGGGUAGAUUGAUUACAACAAAUUACAUUAUUAUACAUUCAGUAUGAAUGGAAGCAAAGCAAAAUGUAGUUACUUGAUAAAUAUGACGUUUGAUCUAUUAAACUAAAAGAAAUCAAGACAAAAAACUUGUUUAAUACCUCUUGCCAAGGAUAACCCAAUUAAACAUUAUUAUUUUAUGAACUA
Molecule: long non-coding RNA, 1108 nt
Organism: Exaiptasia diaphana
Lineage: Eukaryota; Metazoa; Cnidaria; Anthozoa; Actiniaria; Aiptasiidae
Exons: 2
Source: RefSeq, a predicted model, not a curated record